Molecule: non-coding RNA, 842 nt
Organism: Paramormyrops kingsleyae
Lineage: Eukaryota; Metazoa; Chordata; Actinopteri; Osteoglossiformes; Mormyridae
Source: RefSeq, a predicted model, not a curated record
UGAGAGGUGCAUAGUGGGAUUGUUGUCAGUGUCUUAGGCCUCAGGCAAGAAGAAUGUGUCUUGGGCUGACCCUGAAACCAGGAGCUGACACGGCCUGUUUGUGAAGAUAAUCAGAACCUUUGCUGAAAGAAUGGGACGUCCUACGUAGGCUGCUCAGUACUGCAGUGGAAGAUAACGGGAAAGCAGUCAGAGGUUCCGAGAGGAGACAAACAGGCUUAUUUUCUUAUGUGUGUGCUAUAUUUACCUAUUUGGAGGGUCAUGUGAUCUAAUAGCUGUGUUGUAAUGAAAUAGAUUAAUCGACCAAAUAUAUGGUGAGGUAUGGGUAGUUUGAUGAGCUGGAUUGCAUAGUAUUGUUUACCUUGGGGACAUGAUGUAAGGGGUUAGCAAGGGUGGGUGUAACUGGUGGUGACUGGCUGACUGGCCAUGACCCUAAAAGGAUGCAGAGGUGCACAAGGUCAACACCUCUGCACACAGACGAGAGCCCCUGCCUUAACCAAUAGGGUACAAUAUUGCCUUUUAAGGGGAUUUGCAGAAAUGUAUGAAACGUGAGCAUGUACUUUGUUUAGGAGUUUCUUAAGCAAGCAAAUUUUAUCUUAAGUCAUGUCAGGUAAAUUCACUUCAUGCCGGGUGCUCAACAGAAUUUAAGGGAAAGUAACAAGAUUUUUUAGUUCCACACUAUCAUUAUAAAUGAGCUUGCAAUAAAAGGUUAACCUUGUGUAAGUCAGCAAAUGUAAUAACAGUAUCUUAUUUUCUUCAGUUAAUAUUCAUAUUCUGUACUUAAUCUCUUUAAACAUGUUAAUCUUAAUCUCUUUAAAAAAAUAAAUUAUGUAGACACAGAUUAA